GGGCAAUAGCAGGGCCGCAUUCAGGCAGGUCCUGGCAGGGUGGUAGCAGAGCCGUGUUCAGUGGUGACACAGCAGGUCCUGGCAGGGGGAUAGCAGGGCCGUGUUCAGGCAGGUCCUGGCAGGGCGAUAGCAUGGUGGGUGACGGCUGUGGCGGCGCUGUGUGCAGGGCUGGAGCCGCAGGGCAACACGGUGCUGCAGCCGGCGCACUUCACGGUGGAGACGCUGGACGCCGGCAGCGGGGAGGUGCUGGUGUACAUCCAGGACCCCGAGGGGCACACCGAGGAGGCCCAGGUGGUGGCCAACAACGACGAGAAGAAGAGCUUCUCUGUCACCUAUGUCCCCAAAGUGGCGGGGCUGCACAAGGUGACGGUGCUGUUUGGGGGGCAGAACAUCUCUGGGAGCCCCUUUGGGGUGAACGUGGCGAUGGCGCACGGCGAUGCCAGCAAAGUGUCGGCACGCGGCCCCGGCAUCGAGCCCACUGGCAACGUGGCCAACAAGGCCACCUACUUUGACAUCUACACUGCAGGUGGGCGCGGGGGCACUGGGUGGCACUGGGUGGCACUGGGUGACACUGGGUGACACCUGGCCAUGUCCUCAUGCUGGCGCUGGGUGGUGGCACUGGGUGGCACUGAGCGACACUGGAUGGUGGCACUAGAUGGUGGCACUGGGUGGCACUGAGCGACACUGGAUGGUGGCA
Molecule: long non-coding RNA, 697 nt
Filed under: Chrysolophus pictus (golden pheasant)
Lineage: Eukaryota; Metazoa; Chordata; Aves; Galliformes; Phasianidae
Description: lncRNA (ENSCPIG00010001357.1)
Source: RNAcentral